Molecule: long non-coding RNA, 498 nt
Filed under: Chrysolophus pictus (golden pheasant)
Lineage: Eukaryota; Metazoa; Chordata; Aves; Galliformes; Phasianidae
Description: lncRNA (ENSCPIG00010000620.1)
Source: RNAcentral
AUUAUCUAGAUGAAACUAGUGACAUUUAAAUGCAGAGAUCUUCAGAAUGAGCAAAUGCCAUCUUCACAAAGGCCUCAUAGAUAAAUUCAGAUAAAAUUGGGAUUUUCACUUACCAAACUUCCAUACAAGCUUCAGGACUUGGCAGUAGCACAUUCACCAGUUUGGAAAGUACAGACCAAAAGUGACACUAGACCUACAGAGGAAAGACGGAGGAACCGCUGAAGCAGAAGGAACUAAAUCAGCAGAGCUGACAGCAAGAUGUGAUGGGGUGCUAGAUACAGUACUGAUUCCUUCAGAAAUAACUUACAGAUUUGUAACGGAUCUUCACCAGAGAAAGAUAAAGUCAGUGCUCUGCCCACCUAAUAACUCACAACAGACUAUUUUUCCCUCAACACCAGUUCUCCAGCUGUCACUGAAAACCCAGGCUUUGUUUCCUACAGCUUCAGCUGCAUCUGUUGCCUUGACAGGGAAAAAAUUUUGCUCCUGAAAAGUGCCAAG